GACGAACGCUGGCGGCGUGCUUAACACAUGCAAGUCGAACGGAAAGGCCCUGCUUUUGUGGGGUGCUCGAGUGGCGAACGGGUGAGUAACACGUGAGUAACCUGCCCUUGACUUUGGGAUAACUUCAGGAAACUGGGGCUAAUACCGGAUAGGAGCUCCUGCUGCAUGGUGGGGGUUGGAAAGUUUCGGCGGUUGGGGAUGGACUCGCGGCUUAUCAGCUUGUUGGUGGGGUAGUGGCUUACCAAGGCUUUGACGGGUAGCCGGCCUGAGAGGGUGACCGGCCACAUUGGGACUGAGAUACGGCCCAGACUCGUACGGGAGGCAACAGUGGGGAAUAUUGCACAAUGGGCGGAAGCCUGAUGCAGCAACGCCGCGUGCGGGAUGACGGCCUUCGGGUUGUAAACCGCUUUCGCCUGUGACGAAGCGUGAGUGACGGUAAUGGGUAAAGAAGCACCGGCUAACUACGU
This 467-nucleotide ribosomal RNA is filed under the name uncultured bacterium. RNAcentral describes it as "partial 16S ribosomal RNA". It matches the Rfam family "Bacterial small subunit ribosomal RNA", at positions 28 to 506 of the family's 1533-position model. The record is from RNAcentral.